UAAAUGUGAUCUUUUAAGUGAUUUGUAUAAACGAGUUAAUCGCGAUUAAGUCAAAAGGGAAAACGAGUUCAGAUGUAAUCGGUUUUUUGGCCGUUUCGCCUCAGACUCGUUUUUUGGCCGUUUCGUCUCAAGGCGCGCCUUGAGGCGCACGCCUCAAGCGUUUUUUAAAAUCAUGAAGAAAGCAUAUAGUCACACCCAAAUUUAUGUUUCAUACCUUUUGUCUUAUUAAUAGCGUUUACGCAGGACUUGAUGUUGAUGACUGGCCCUGUACUUUCAGUUUGUGGUGCAUGAACCCAGCCCUCGUGUUCAAGAACAUGUCUGAUGGUGUUCUUUCAGAAAUUUUAACAUCCGGGUUUACCAAGACGAUGGGAUUUAUCACACAAUCGACAUGUAUCUUAAGGAACACCCCUGGAUGGGAAAGAGCAUAAAGAAACGAGUAUGCAGACUAAUGGAUUGCAGAAAAUUGUCACCGGAUGCUUGCAAGCACACGGUUCAAAACGAGCGGCUCCCUUUACGGGUGGUGGUGCAAGUCCUCUUUUUUGAGCAGCUAUGAGUCACAUCAAGUGGUGGGAUGGCGGCGGAAGCCGCCAUGGGCCUGCUUCUGGGGUGAUGCUCGACCCAGAAGUUCAGGCAAUUAAAAUAGCUACAGAUGCAGACCCAGAAGUUCCUCAUUCAAGUGGCAUCCCUGCAAGGUAUUAGAAGACCUGUUCUCUUCGCUUACCUGCUUUUUCUCUAAAGACGGGAAACACAUAUGCGACUGUCAGCUUGUAUAACAAUGUCAUAAUAUCUACGGUGAUGCUGGACUUGAUGUUGAUGACUGGCCCUGUACUUUCAGUUUGUGGUGCAUGAACCCAGCUCUCGUGUUCAAGAACAUGUCCGAUGGUGUUCUUUCAGUAAUUUUAACAUCCGGGACUCUCUCACCGAUGAGCUCCUUCCAGUCGGAACUUGGGAUUCAGUUCGGAACCUCUCUUGUGGCUCCACAUGUAAACUUAAUUCGCAUUUUGAUCUUUUUAUAUGAAAGCUAUGGGCUGGUGUGAUCCACUUGUCUUAAUGUUAAGUAUGUUGCCAAUGUUGUUUCUUCUACUUUAUUGCAAGUCCUUGUUACGUUACGUGAAGGUAGUGUUGUGAGCCCACCUGACAAGUGUUGUGAGCCCAAUGUUAAGUAGGUGGCCCAUGUUGAGAAAAAAUGUGUUUUAAUUUGAAGAUGGUGACUGAUGGUCACUCGGUUCAACAAAAGGCCCACGUAUUGUUUUUUUUUUGUGCCACAAGUUAAUUGCAUGGUGUUUCAUUGCUAUUGGAUUGAAGGCCCAAGUCGGGUUUUUUUUUAAAAGCUUGAAGCUACGGUUUUGAAAGCCUGAGGUUGGGUUCGAGAUUCUUUGGUUAAAGAUCCAAUAUUAGGGUAAUUAGCAGCUGCACCCUUUUUUAAUAUUGUUUUAUGGGUAUUUUGUAUAAACCAUCCGUUUGAUGAGGUUUGGUUUGUUGUCAGUUUGUGAAACCACUUUAUUAGUAGUUUUCCUAAAUCC
Molecule: long non-coding RNA, 1523 nt
Organism: Helianthus annuus (common sunflower)
Lineage: Eukaryota; Viridiplantae; Streptophyta; Magnoliopsida; Asterales; Asteraceae
Exons: 6
Source: RefSeq, a predicted model, not a curated record